RNAcentral lists this ribosomal RNA (253 nucleotides) under uncultured bacterium. RNAcentral describes it as "partial 16S ribosomal RNA". It matches the Rfam family "Bacterial small subunit ribosomal RNA", at positions 524 to 776 of the family's 1533-position model. The record is from RNAcentral.
UACAGAGGUCUCAAGCGUUGUUCGGAUUCAUUGGGCGUAAAGAGCUCGUAGGCGGCUUGUUGCGUCGACUGUGAAAACCCGCGGCUUAACCGCGGGCUUGCAGUUGAUACGGGCAGGCUAGAGUUCGGUAGGGGAGACUGGAAUUCCUGGUGUAGCGGUGAAAUGCGCAGAUAUCAGGAGGAACACCGGUGGCGAAGGCGCUCUGCUGGACCAUAACUGACACUCAGGGACGAAAGCUAGGGGAGCGAAUGGG